This is a long non-coding RNA of Sapajus apella (tufted capuchin), 186 nucleotides long. RefSeq lists it as uncharacterized. The record is from RefSeq and is a predicted model, not a curated record. Lineage: Eukaryota; Metazoa; Chordata; Mammalia; Primates; Cebidae. The transcript has 3 exons.
CUUCCAUGUGAUGGGGGAGCGGGAGACAGGUCUGCGCGGUUUUUCCAUGUGGUUGCAAGUGACGAGAUUUCACCCAUUUCUAUGAUUGAAGAAUAUUCUACUCUGGAUGUAUAUUGCAAUUUCCUCAUGCCUUCAUCAAUGGAUGGACAGGACAACCAAGGUCUCCUCUGGACAUCACGAGUCAGA